CAAUAACUAGGCAGCAAAUCUUGAUUUCCUUUGUCUUUAUUUUUUGCAAUGAUGAUUGAUGAUUUCUUGAGCCUGAAAAUAGAAAACUCAUUUGAUUAGAUCUCAUACACAAUCAAACUUUUUGUGAGGUGAGGCUCACUUCGUUCAAUGAUCUUGGUUCGAUGAUCUUGCUUCUGAGUUUCAAAGACUAUGUAAACAUGGGAUUACGAAAAACAGUUUAUAGGUGAGCCUCACUUCUUUUGAGGAUAUUGCUUGUCUUUCACAAAGGUAAAGAAAUGUUUUCCUAAAGGUAUUUAUUUUGGUUGGUUUUUUCUACAACAGCAUAUCAGUACAUAAAAAUGAGAUUGCAUAUAUUGCUUCCACCUUUAUAACACCCUCAUUCAAAUAGGGAUUUAAAUUUAUGACCUUAUUAAAAAAUUCUUUCAAGGUUACUAAUGUGUUGGCAGCUAUGGCCAAGGAAGUAGUAUUUGAGAAGAGCAUACACUACACUACUAAUGAAGAGAGCAAAGUUUUAAAGACUUUGACAUGUGAAUAAAGAAGCAAUUUAUCAUGUCACUUGCUUAAAUCAAAUUCGGAAAAUAACAAGGCAUAACCAAUCAAGUUCAUAGACAUAUGAUGCUAAGCGUGUCUCCCAUUGGAGCACUUAUCAACUUAUUAAGCUCAACUCUUACUUUGUUUUCCCAAUGGAAAAAUGUUUAUGUGGUAGGCAUGAUUGUUUCAAUUUAAGGAUUUUUUUUUAAAAGGAAUUUAAGGACUGUCUUUGAUUAAAGAGUGGUUGCUUAAAAUAAAUGAACUAAAUCCAUUAAAUAUGAACCUUUGGGGUUAAAAGUGAUUGAAAUCUUAAAAGAGCUUUGGCAUAAGUAAAUGGAGGUGAUGUUUACCUUGAGU
Trifolium pratense (red clover) is the source of this 888-nucleotide long non-coding RNA. RefSeq lists it as uncharacterized. The transcript is spliced from 4 exons. NCBI's taxonomy places the organism in Eukaryota, Viridiplantae, Streptophyta, Magnoliopsida, Fabales, Fabaceae. The record is from RefSeq and is a predicted model, not a curated record.